UUUGUUUUAUAAUUAAAAACUAGAAUGAAUGGAAUAACGUUUAAAUUUCUUUAUUUUUUCUAUAUAAUAAAAUUAUAUUAAAUAUAAAAAUAUAUUUAUAUAUCAAAUAGACGACAAGACCCUAUUGAACUUCACUUUAGUUAAGCUGGGGCAGCUAAAUAAUUAAAAUCUUAAUAUCUUAUAUUAUAAAAAUUAUCCUUUAUAAAUGAUUAUUUAAACAAGUUACCUUAGGGAUAACAGCGUAAUAUUAUUAUAAAGUUCUUAUUUAAUAUAAUGAUUGCGACCUCGAUGUUGAAUUAUUAUUUCUUUAUAACGCAAUAGUUAUACAUUAGUGGGUCUGUUCGACCCUUAAUAUUUUACAUGAUUUGAGUUCAAACCGGUGUAAACCAGGUUGGUUUCUAUCUUUUAUUUACAUUUUUCUAGUACGAAAGGACAAAAAAAUUUAUUAUUAAUAAUAUAUUAGCAAAUAAAUGCAUUAGAAUUAGAAUCUAAGCUUACUAAAUAUAAUAUUAUUAUUAAUAGAAUCAUUCCUAUAAUCUGUAUUUUUAUUAGAGUUGCAUUUUAUACAAUCUUAGAACGAAAAAUUUUAGGUUACAUCCAAAUUCGAAAAGGACCUAAUAAAGUAGGUUUAAUAGGUAUUCUACAACCAUUCAGAGAUGCUAUCAAAGUAUUUAAUAAAAAUUUAAUUUCUUCUGAGUUUAUAAAUUAUUCGCUUUUCCUAUACCAUACCAGCAAUAUCUAUCCUUUUAGCUAUACUAAUUGUAUCUUKUAUKSCRAUAUAGKRSUAUAUUCCAUUUGACAAUAAACAUAAY
Molecule: ribosomal RNA, 812 nt
Filed under: Ameridion sp. 102A
Lineage: Eukaryota; Metazoa; Arthropoda; Arachnida; Araneae; Theridiidae
Description: partial 16S ribosomal RNA
Source: RNAcentral